Molecule: ribosomal RNA, 480 nt
Filed under: uncultured bacterium
Lineage: Bacteria
Description: bacterial SSU rRNA
Rfam family: Bacterial small subunit ribosomal RNA
Source: RNAcentral
GAUGAACGCUAGCGGCAGGCUUAACACAUGCAAGUCGAGGGGUAGAAGGAGCUUGCUCCUUUGAGACCGGCGCACGGGUGCGUAACGCGUAUGCAAUCUACCUUUUGCAGAGGGAUAGCCCAGAGAAAUUUGGAUUAAUACCUCAUAGUAUGUGAGGAUGGCAUCAUUUUCACAUUAAAGUCACAACGGCAAAAGAUGAGCAUGCGUCCCAUUAGCUAGUUGGUAAGGUAACGGCUUACCAAGGCUACGAUGGGUAGGGGUCCUGAGAGGGAGAUCCCCCACACUGGUACUGAGACACGGACCAGACUCCUACGGGAGGCAGCAGUGAGGAAUAUUGGACAAUGGGCGCAAGCCUGAUCCAGCCAUGCCGCGUGCAGGAUGACGGUCCUAUGGAUUGUAAACUGCUUUUGUACAGGAAGAAACACUACUUCGUGAAGUAGCUUGACGGUACUGUAAGAAUAAGGAUCGGCUAACUCCGUG